GACAAUAUUGUUCCGGAAUUUUUAGCUGGCACUCAGAUUUCUGUCUGCCUCUCAUUGGCAAACAUGACAUUUCAGCAAUUUCUCUAAAGAGGAAUGACUGGGGGGUAUGUACAGCAGGCAUCAUGUAAGAAAAACUCACACCUCACGACAUAUUUGUUUGAUUUAUUCAGCAGACUUCAGCAAAGGAAAGAUGUGAAAGCAACCCUUGAUUGUUGAUUUUUUGUUCAUUCUGAAAAUCACAUCGCCAGAUCCAACACCUUUUUAUCCCAAUCACCAGUACAAGCCACCCGUAUCAGUGUACACUGUGGCUGACCGAUCCAUAGUGAUGCUUUGAGCACAAGGAAGGACUUUCUGGAAUCUACUUAUCUGACCAAGAAAGCUUCUUUCCAAAAGAAAUGCAAUUGUCUUGAGACUUCUUCCCUAGGGAUCUGAUCAACUAACCAGAAAAGAGCAACCACCAGAGAAGAGACUGUGGGUGUCAUUGUGACUGGCUGCUACCUCCCCAUGAGUCUUCUAAAAUAAAACCUGCAAAUUCACAUCUUCCCCAUGCUUCCAGAGAA
Molecule: long non-coding RNA, 560 nt
Filed under: Homo sapiens (human)
Lineage: Eukaryota; Metazoa; Chordata; Mammalia; Primates; Hominidae
Description: novel transcript
Source: RNAcentral